RNAcentral lists this small RNA (125 nucleotides) under Marmota monax (woodchuck). Lineage: Eukaryota; Metazoa; Chordata; Mammalia; Rodentia; Sciuridae. The record is from RNAcentral.
GCCAGGCACAGUGGUGCAUGCCUGUAAUCCCAGCAGCUUGGGAGGCUGAGGCAGGGGGAUUGCAAGUUCAAUGCCAGCCUCAGCAAAAGCCAGGCACUAGGCAACUCAGUAAGACUCUGUCUCUA